CGACAUUAGACGAAUCAUCUGGAAAGAUGAAUCAAAGAAGGUAAUAAUCCUGUAGUCGAAAAUGUUGUCUCUCUUGAGUGGAUCCUGAGUACGACGGAGCACGUGAAAUUCCGUCGGAAUCUGGGAGGACCAUCUCCUAAGGCUAAAUACUCUCUAGUGACCGAUAGCGAACCAGUACCGUGAGGGAAAGGUGAAAAGCACCCCGGAAGGGGAGUGAAAUAGAACCUGAAACCGUGUGCUUACAAGUAGUCAGAGCCCGUUAAUGGGUGAUAGCGUGCCUUUUGUAGAAUGAACCGGCGAGUUACGAUUUGAUGCAAGGUUAAGCAGUAAAUGUGGAGCCGUAGCGAAAGCGAGUCUGAAUAGGGCGUUUAGUAUUUGGUCGUAGACCCGAAACCAGGUGAUCUACCCUUGGUCAGGUUGAAGUUCAGGUAACACUGAAUGGAGGACCGAACCGACUUACGUUGAAAAGUGAGCGGAUGAACUGAGGGUAGCGGAGAAAUUCCAAUCGAACCUGGAGAUAGCUGGUUCUCUCCGAAAUAGCUUUAGGGCUAGCCUCAAGUGAUGAUUAUUGGAGGUAGAGCACUGUUUGGACGAGGGGCCCCUCUCGGGUUACCGAAUUCAGACAAACUCCGAAUGCCAAUUAAUUUAACUUGGGAGUCAGAACAUGGGUGAUAAGGUCCGUGUUCGAAAGGGAAACAGCCCAGACCACCAGCUAAGGUCCCAAAAUAUAUGUUAAGUGGAAAAGGAUGUGGCGUUGCCCAGACAACUAGGAUGUUGGCUUAGAAGCAGCCAUCAUUUAAAGAGUGCGUAAUAGCUCACUAGUCGAGUGACACUGCGCCGAAAAUGUACCGGGGCUAAACAUAUUACCGAAGCUGUGGAUUGUCCUUUGGACAAUGGUAGGAGAGCGUUCUAAGGGCGUUGAAGCAUGAUCGUAAGGACAUGUGGAGCGCUUAGAAGUGAGAAUGCCGGUGUGAGUAGCGAAAGACGGGUGAGAAUCCCGUCCACCGAUUGACUAAGGUUUCCAGAGGAAGGCUCGUCCGCUCUGGGUUAGUCGGGUCCUAAGCUGAGGCCGACAGGCGUAGGCGAUGGAUAACAGGUUGAUAUUCCUGUACCACCUAUAAUCGUUUUAAUCGAUGGGGGGACGCAGUAGGAUAGGCGAAGCGUGCGAUUGGAUUGCACGUCUAAGCAGUAAGGCUGAGUAUUAGGCAAAUCCGGUACUCAUUAAGGCUGAGCUGUGAUGGGGAGAAGACAUUGUGUCUUCGAGUCGUUGAUUUCACACUGCCGAGAAAAGCCUCUAGAUAGAAAAUAGGUGCCCGUACCGCAAACCGACACAGGUAGUCAAGAUGAGAAUUCUAAGGUGAGCGAGCGAACUCUCGUUAAGGAACUCGGCAAAAUGACCCCGUAACUUCGGGAGAAGGGGUGCUCUUUAGGGUUAACGCCCAGAAGAGCCGCAGUGAAUAGGCCCAAGCGACUGUUUAUCAAAAACACAGGUCUCUGCUAAACCGUAAGGUGAUGUAUAGGGGCUGACGCCUGCCCGGUGCUGGAAGGUUAAGAGGAGUGGUUAGCUUCUGCGAAGCUACGAAUCGAAGCCCCAGUAAACGGCGGCCGUAACUAUAACGGUCCUAAGGUAGCGAAAUUCCUUGUCGGGUAAGUUCCGACCCGCACGAAAGGCGUAACGAUUUGGGCACUGUCUCAACGAGAGACUCGGUGAAAUCAUAGUACCUGUGAAGAUGCAGGUUACCCGCGACAGGACGGAAAGACCCCGUGGAGCUUUACUGUAGCCUGAUAUUGAAAUUCGGCACAGCUUGUACAGGAUAGGUAGGAGCCUUUGAAACGUGAGCGCUAGCUUACGUGGAGGCGCUGGUGGGAUACUACCCUAGCUGUGUUGGCUUUCUAACCCGCACCACUUAUCGUGGUGGGAGACAGUGUCAGGCGGGCAGUUUGACUGGGGCGGUCGCCUCCUAAAAGGUAACGGAGGCGCUCAAAGGUUCCCUCAGAAUGGUUGGAAAUCAUUCAUAGAGUGUAAAGGCAUAAGGGAGCUUGACUGCGAGACCUACAAG
RNAcentral lists this ribosomal RNA (2060 nucleotides) under Staphylococcus aureus. RNAcentral's name for it is "partial 23S ribosomal RNA". It matches the Rfam family "Bacterial large subunit ribosomal RNA", at positions 324 to 2388 of the family's 2925-position model. Lineage: Bacteria; Bacillati; Bacillota; Bacilli; Caryophanales; Staphylococcaceae. The record is from RNAcentral.